Molecule: ribosomal RNA, 253 nt
Filed under: uncultured bacterium
Lineage: Bacteria
Description: partial 16S ribosomal RNA
Rfam family: Bacterial small subunit ribosomal RNA
Source: RNAcentral
UACGUAGGUGGCAAGCGUUGUCCGGAUUUAUUGGGUUUAAAGGGUGCGUAGGCGGUUCCAUAAGUCAGUGGUGAAAUACGGCAGCUCAACUGUCGAGGUGCCAUUGAUACUGCGGAACUUGAGUACUGAUGAGGUAGGCGGAAUUGACGGUGUAGCGGUGAAAUGCUUAGAUAUCGUCAAGAACACCGAUAGCGAAGGCAGCUAACCAAGCAGUAACUGACGCUGAGGCACGAAAGUGCGGGGAUCAAACAGG